This 254-nucleotide ribosomal RNA is filed under the name uncultured bacterium. RNAcentral describes it as "partial 16S ribosomal RNA". It matches the Rfam family "Bacterial small subunit ribosomal RNA", at positions 524 to 776 of the family's 1533-position model. The record is from RNAcentral.
UACGUAGGGUGCAAGCGUUUGUCCGGAAUUAUUGGGCGUAAAGAGCUCGUAGGCGGUUUGUCGCGUCUGCUGUGAAAACCCGAGGCUCAACCUCGGGCCUGCAGUCGAUACGAGCAGACUAGAGUGUUGCAGGGGAGACUGGAAUUCCUGGUGUAGCGGUGAAAUGCGCAGAUAUCAGGAGGAACACCGGUGGCGAAGGCGGGUCUCUGGGCAACAACUGACGCUGAGGAGCGAAAGCGUGGGGAGCGAACAGG